This 468-nucleotide ribosomal RNA is filed under the name uncultured bacterium. RNAcentral's name for it is "partial 16S ribosomal RNA". It matches the Rfam family "Bacterial small subunit ribosomal RNA", at positions 28 to 507 of the family's 1533-position model. The record is from RNAcentral.
GACGAACGCUGGCGGCGUGCUUAACACAUGCAAGUCGAACGGAAAGGCCUGCAGCUUGCUGCGGGUACUCGAGUGGCGAACGGGUGAGUAACACGUGGGUGAUCUGCCUUGCACUUCGGGAUAAGCUUGGGAAACUGGGUCUAAUACCGGAUAGGACAGCUGUCUAGUGUCAGUUGUGGAAAGUUUUUUCGGUGCAAGAUGAGCUCGCGGCCUAUCAGCUUGUUGGUGGGGUAAUGGCCUACCAAGGCGUCGACGGGUAGCCGGCCUGAGAGGGUGUACGGCCACAUUGGGACUGAGAUACGGCCCAGACUCCUACGGGAGGCAGCAGUGGGGAAUAUUGCACAAUGGGCGGAAGCCUGAUGCAGCGACGCCGCGUGGGGGAUGAAGGCCUUCGGGUUGUAAACUCCUUUCGACAGGGACGAAGCUUUUGUGACGGUACCUGUAUAAGAAGCACCGGCUAACUACGUG